This 253-nucleotide ribosomal RNA is filed under the name uncultured bacterium. RNAcentral's name for it is "partial 16S ribosomal RNA". It matches the Rfam family "Bacterial small subunit ribosomal RNA", at positions 524 to 776 of the family's 1533-position model. The record is from RNAcentral.
UACGUAGGGUGCAAGCGUUGUCCGGAAUUAUUGGGCGUAAAGAGCUCGUAGGCGGUCUGUCGCGUCUGCUGUGAAAACUCGGGGCUUAACCCCGGGCCUGCAGUGGGUACGGGCAGACUAGAGUGCGGUAGGGGAGACUGGAAUUCCUGGUGUAGCGGUGAAAUGCGCAGAUAUCGGGAGGAACACCCGUAGCGAAGGCGGCACUCUGGGCCGGAACUGACGCUGAGGAGCGAAAGCGUGGGGAGCAAACAGG